RNAcentral lists this ribosomal RNA (497 nucleotides) under uncultured bacterium. RNAcentral describes it as "partial 16S ribosomal RNA". It matches the Rfam family "Bacterial small subunit ribosomal RNA", at positions 28 to 507 of the family's 1533-position model. The record is from RNAcentral.
GAUGAACGCUGGCGGCGCGCCUAAUACAUGCAAGUCGAGCGAACAGAUGAGGAGCUUGCUCCUCUGACGUUAGCGGCGGACGGGUGAGUAACACGUGGAUAACCUACCUAUAAGACUGGGAUAACUUCGGGAAACCGGCGCUAAUACCGGAUAAUAUAUUGAACCGCAUGGUUCAAUAGUGAAAGACGGUUUUGCUGUCACUUAUAGAUGGAUCCGCGCCGCAUUAGCUAGUUGGUAAGGUAACGGCUUACCAAGGCAACGAUGCGUAGCCGACCUGAGAGGGUGAUAGGCCACACUGGAACUGAGACACGGUCCAGACUCCUACGGGAGGCAGCAGUAGGGAAUCUUCCGCAAUGGGCGAAAGCCUGACGGAGCAACGCCGCGUGAGUGAUGAAGGUCUUCGGAUCGUAAAACUCUGUUAUGAGGGAAGAACAAAUGUGUAAGUAACUAUGCACGUCUUGACGGUACCUAAUCAGAAAGCCACGGCUAACUACGUG